UGCAGAAGUGAUGAUGACCUCCAACCAUACCAGCGACUUCAGAGGACAAUGGAGACAGGAGCUCAUCGAUAGCCUUUGCUUCAGGAGCUAAGGCCCCAGAACUACUGCUCGCUGGAUGUUUUUUCGUUUUCUCGCAGCCUCUGUAAGCCCUAGAAGCUAAUGGGCGUGAAAAGCAUUGGAGAAAUCAUUGCAGCUUUUGUGAUACUGAAACCACCCUGCCUGGCACCAACAGUCAAAGUCACUUAGUUCAUAUUCCUUCCACAUUCUGAUGUUUGGUCUGAAGAACAACUAUCCAGGGGCCGUGGACAAUUCUGACUUGAUGGAGAAUGGACGUGAAAGCACAGAGGAACAUCUGGAGAAAUUUCUGAAAUGCCCGUUCCCUGCUGUCGUUACUGUGUGGUCGGGAAUCUUUCGGAGGGUAGGCCUCAAAAUCCCUGGCCUUGCCUGCUUUUGGCGACCGAGAAGGAGGUCGAAUCGUUUGGACAGAGAUGGCGCUCAGUACUCGGUGUUGGAGAGCUGAUCAGAGCUCGAAGGUGUCGGAUGACUCAGAGUUGGAUUGUGGUCAGCAUGACAGGGAGAGUUUUCCUUCCUCCUCCUGUCUGCGUGAGAUGUGGGACAUUAGAGAAACUUUGAACUUUACUGUGCUCAUGGACUUCUUCAUCAAGUUAUGGUAUUGUGCACUGUUGUAACUAUAUGUUAUAAUUAUGUGGUUUUGUCAG
Molecule: long non-coding RNA, 719 nt
Organism: Mobula hypostoma (lesser devil ray)
Lineage: Eukaryota; Metazoa; Chordata; Chondrichthyes; Myliobatiformes; Myliobatidae
Exons: 3
Source: RefSeq, a predicted model, not a curated record